This 551-nucleotide ribosomal RNA is filed under the name uncultured kinetoplastid. RNAcentral describes it as "bacterial SSU rRNA". It matches the Rfam family "Eukaryotic small subunit ribosomal RNA", at positions 615 to 1026 of the family's 1831-position model. Lineage: Eukaryota; Euglenozoa; Kinetoplastea. The record is from RNAcentral.
GCUGUUAAGGGUUCGUAGUUGAACUGAGGGUGUUCAGGUAGACGAUCCUGUCCCGCUCCGUAUUGGGGUUGGCGACACUCGCUCCUAGCACUCGUGAACGACAGAAACAAAUACCACGGAACGUUUUCUCUCCAACUUCACUCGCAUGCAAUGUAUGCAGUGUGGGGGGAUGUCCGUGUUUUUACUGUGACUAAAAAAGCGUGACCAAAGCAGUCAUUCGACAUGAAUUUCAAAGCUGGGAUAACAACGAAGCAACUUACGGGCUACCGUCUUGGCUUUUGUUGGUUUUAAAGGUCUGUGGAGACUAUGGGUUCGCACGACAAGCGGUUCGGGAGCUUCGGUUCCCUACGCCUCCGGGGUCACUUCUGUGUGAACCGGCUUGCGAUGCUCAGGAAUGAAGGAGGGUUGUUCGGGGGGAACGUACUUGAGCGUGAGAGGUGAAAUUCUUAGACCGCUCAAAGACGAACUACAGCGAGGCAUUCUCCAAGGAUACCUUCCUCAAUCAAGAACCAAAGUGUGGAGAUCGAAGAUGUUAGAUACCAUUGUAGUCC